AGGCUGAGAAGGCGGCCUUGAUCAAGAAGGGGGCCGUUGUUCUGCCCAAUCAGGUCGUGCGGCUCAAUAAGCCAGC
RNAcentral lists this transfer RNA (76 nucleotides) under Pararhodospirillum photometricum DSM 122. RNAcentral's name for it is "tRNA-Phe". Lineage: Bacteria; Pseudomonadati; Pseudomonadota; Alphaproteobacteria; Rhodospirillales; Rhodospirillaceae. The record is from RNAcentral.